Eleginops maclovinus (Patagonian blennie) is the source of this 956-nucleotide long non-coding RNA. RefSeq lists it as uncharacterized. The transcript is spliced from 2 exons. The record is from RefSeq and is a predicted model, not a curated record. NCBI's taxonomy places the organism in Eukaryota, Metazoa, Chordata, Actinopteri, Perciformes, Eleginopidae.
GGAGGCUCAAGGUAUGUCACUAUCUUUAACUGCAUCAAGAAGAGCGGAUGUUGUUUUCUAAAACUGGGCCAAGAUCCUUCUUAUAAAUAUUUGCUUUGCUGUUUUAGACUGCUUAUGAGUACAAGGCAGCGACUGGCUUUCCCCCACAAAAACACAGAGGGAGUUCAACCAGUGUGAGACAUCUGGACAACCUGCUGAAGCUAAACCCAGAGGAGAACUCUGACCAUAAGCAAAGGUUCGUCAGCCUCCUGCAUAAGAUGCUGCACCUGAAUCCUCAGAAGAGAAUCACACCCAGUGACGCACUGCUACACCCAUUCAUAACUGGACUGGAUGCUGAUGACUCUCUGGUAGAGGAAUCAUCUGAGGAAGAUAGCGGUUGCGCUGGUGACAGUGAUUCCCUUCACACCUCAGAGGUUGCUUCAUCGGACAUGAGCCAAACAGACGUAGCCUGCGCCGCCGCUGAAUCAGUAGAUUCACUUGUCGGUGUAGAAAUCGUAGCUGUGGUUUUCUCCAUUGAUGAGGCCUCAGAUGGUGCCGCUGACACCAUGACUGUUGAUGCUGUUCCAGAGGACGAAGUCUCAGCUCUCCGUUUCUUCACUUUUGAAGGCUUACUAGGUGGUGGAGACUCAAGCCGAGCAACAACUGACCUGUAUGAUGCCGUUUCAGCUGACAAAGGCACAGCCGAUAACUCUGCUCCAGCCAUGACAAAGGCAGCACUCAAAAGCCCAUCCACUGGUGAAGGUCCUCCACCCAUGACGGUUGACUCCACUGACGCCCACAUCAGCUCGGAGGGAGUCGUAGCCAGAAACAGUCAGGGGAAAAGGAUCAGGAAGUUCUUCGGCAGAAUAUUCAGGGCCCUGAGCUGCUGUUGCUCUGCUAAUGUUGAGCAAUAAUUUUAUGUUAUUUGUUUUCUUUGUGAUUUUAUUCCAUUAUUAAAUGUUUUCUUGCAUGUGUAA